This 465-nucleotide ribosomal RNA is filed under the name uncultured Weissella sp. Its description in RNAcentral is "bacterial SSU rRNA". It matches the Rfam family "Bacterial small subunit ribosomal RNA", at positions 338 to 795 of the family's 1533-position model. Lineage: Bacteria; Bacillati; Bacillota; Bacilli; Lactobacillales; Lactobacillaceae. The record is from RNAcentral.
CCUACGGGAGGCAGCAGUAGGGAAUCUUCCACAAUGGACGAAAGUCUGAUGGAGCAACGCCGCGUGUGUGAUGAAGGGUUUCGGCUCGGAAAACACUGUUGUAAGAGAAGAAUGACAUUGAGAGUAACUGUUCAGUGUGUGACGGUAUCUUACCAGACAGGAACGGCUAAAUACGUGCCAGACGCCGCGGUAAUACGUAUGCUCAAUGCGCUAUCCGGAUUGAUUGGGCGUAAAGCGAGCGCAGACGGUUAUGUAAGUCCGAAGUGAAAGCCCACAGCUUAACUGGGGAAAUGCUGUUGAAACUGGCUAACUUGAGUGCAGUAGAGGAGAGUGGAACUUGAUAUGUAGCGGUGAAAUGCGUAGAUAUAUGGAAGAACACCAGUGGCGAAGGCGGCUCUCUGGGCUGUAACUGACGUUGAGGCACGAAAGUGUGGGUAGCAAACAGGAUUAGAUACCCUAGUAGUC